GAUGAACGCUGGCGGCGUGGAUAAGGCAUGCAAGUCGAGCGGUUUCCCGAUUUAUCGGGAAGCAGCGGCGAACGAGUUAGUAAUACCUUGGCAAUCUACCCUAGAUCGGGAAAUAAUUCGCCGAAAGGCGGACUAAUGUCCCAUAACAUCCGAUUUCGUCAGAUUUCGGAUUAAAGGCGCAAGCCGAUUUUGGAGGAGCCUAGGCCCGAUCAGCUUGUUGGUGAGGUAACGGCCCACCAAGGCUAUGACCGGUAGGGGAAGUGAGAGCUUGUUCCCCAACGACGAAACUGAGACACGGUUCGUACACCUACGGGUCGGCAG
Molecule: ribosomal RNA, 321 nt
Filed under: uncultured Parcubacteria group bacterium
Lineage: Bacteria
Description: bacterial SSU rRNA
Rfam family: Bacterial small subunit ribosomal RNA
Source: RNAcentral